CUUUUCCCCGCCGUCCGCUAGGACUUCAGCAGAUCCUCUCCGAGGCAGGGCCGGCGGCGCUGCCGGGGCUCCGAGCGGGCACUUUGCUGUAGGAAGGGCAGGUUUCUUUCUCCUCUCCACGUGCUGUUCUGUGCCUUGCUCUGCCCAGAUGUGACACACAGGACCUGAGUGCUUCACUUGGGGUUUUUCCUUGGAGCUCAGUGGAACCGCCCCGGUUUGACUCCCCACAUCUUCGGCGUGGAAGGAGAUGCUCCCAGCAGGCAGAAAAUGCAUCUCCACCCGGGAGGACAGGAUCCGUGUGCUGCCAAUACGCCUGGGCUCCAGCUCCUCUGAUCCCUGCGGGACGGUGGGCGGUGGGCAGCAGGUGCCGGUGCUGCAGCUGGGGGCUCACCCCAGUGCCCGCCCCUGCAGAGCCCCCCCACCUCACCACAGGCGUCCCAGCGCCUUGUGGCUGCAUCCUGAGGUUGCUCCCAAGCAGCAGCCGGAGCCACUCAUGCUGCUGCGGGCAGAAGGCAGUACGCUGGCACCGGAGCCCGGGGCCAAGGUCAGCGCUCUCCGCCAGACACUGGCUGUGCAGAACUCACUGGCCGCUCACACUGCCAGAGGCGACGCGAAGUGCAGGGACAGCAGCGCGCUUGGGCUCAGCUGAGCUACUUGUUCUGAAAGAGAAGCCAAAUGGGUUGGAGCUGUUUGUGCUUUCAGACACUCAGCGAGCAGAGCCACACGCAGAAGCUGAAGUAUUUAUGGCACACAAAGAACAUCCCUUUCAUCUUCAGUGUUUGAAAUCUUCCUUCAGAGCCACCUGUGGGACAGUGCUGCACGCAGCUUGCCCAAACACACUGUGUAAUUCGCACAACAAAAAACACAUAAAAGAACAUCAGGCCUGGAGGACAAACCCCUGAAAAAUCAGGAACGCUUUCGGCACGAGGACUGAAUUUUCAGGGCCUGCAUGGGAUGUGCACAGAUGCUCCAGCGGGGUGUCAGAACUCACGGCCACUUGCCAGAGCCCAGGGCCCUCCUGCAGGCCCCCAGCAGCUCUGCCCCGUGCAGCGGGCCCCGAGCAGCCCCGACCCCGCCUGGGUGCCGGUGGGGCUGCGUGCCCAGAGCCGGGGGCUGGCCAUUGGCCGGGGACAGCAACCUGCACGGAGCUCCUGGCACAGCCCCACCGUGAGCGCUCCUUGCUCAGGGAACAGGAAUAAGAUGUGGCUAGGGUCUGAGUCAGAGACAGCAUUUAAAGUUUGAGACCUUGGUUGAUUCUGAAUACGUUUGUUUUUCCCCAAAUGCCACAACAGGUUAGUCUACAAACAUUGCCACAGCAUGGCCUGAACGCAGCUCUCUGCCUCUACGCAAACAAACAAACAAACAAACAGGAAUACAAAACUCCACCAUCCUUCUUUCCUUCUUUAGGUAAUGCAGUGAGAACUUGUAAAAGCAUCUGAGAAAACAUCCAAGCUCCUGCUUGUUUCCUGGUUGGUUUUUAUGCUCUGCAGAUCCCCCAGCAGCUGAUGGCCCUGGCCUCAGGGCCGGGCGAUGGCAUGGGGCAGCUGACGGGCAGAAGGGCUGUGCUGCCCCCCCCAGCCCCGUGCUGGAUGAGGAACGGGACGGGCGGCUGCAGACGGAUCAAGAGAGGCGAGGGGGAGCUGGGACCAGCUCCAGGGGGUCAGCCUCAGUGCUAGGGCUGCCAACGGCACGGCAAUGCCUCACAGCUCAGAAUGCGGCCAGCAAUCUCAGUGUAAAGAGGGAAGGAAAUACUCAGAACUACCUGUAUUGCUGGGCUUUUAGAAGGGUGAGAAAGGUGAUGUUUUUCCCAGUAGCUUUCUAAAAGGAAGGGAGCAGUGAAAGCACCGGCAGCAUUUCGAACAGAGCGAAGCAUUUUCUGUGUCAGAGAUGCCAGGGAA
Molecule: non-coding RNA, 1898 nt
Organism: Anas platyrhynchos (mallard)
Lineage: Eukaryota; Metazoa; Chordata; Aves; Anseriformes; Anatidae
Source: RefSeq, a predicted model, not a curated record